CAAGUUCGUUCGAUCAAAUUAAAGCUGAAAGAAAACUUGAUUUUAGUAAGUUCAAUCGAAUCAAUAACAUCAUUUUGAAGAAUCUAAGCCACGUUACGGUGGAUUUUGGAGACCCUUUCGAAUACACAGUCCAUACUUCUGCAUGAGUCGAUACUGGACUGCCAAAAUUCGUUCACGUGAGCAUCGCUGGAAUGACACACUCGAAAUUGAACAAUUCAGUCGCUCAAUUUACACAAGCAUUAAUUGGUUUUCCUUCUUCAAUGAGUACGAUUUUUCAGGUUGCUGCUCAUACCAAAUGAGAACCUAUGCAUUUUAUGGCCAGAAUCAAGGAAUUUCCCCCAAAGAUUACAUUAACAAGUUAACCGAUUUUGCAAGUGAGGGGAAAAGCUUGAGACAAAUCAGGGUGCGAUUUGAUGUCGACUUAUGCUUGAACGUGAUAUUUGAAAUCAGUUUCGGAUCAGACCAACGUGAACUCAAAAUCUAUGGAGGUGAUCCAAGGGCAAACUUCAUGCUUCCUUUGCUUCAUGCAGGAAACACUGUGAUUUCAUUUGAAAUCAGCGAAUUACGGAAAGAACUCAAUUUUGAUUGGUUCAAGUUCAACGUGCUGUGUCUCGGACAAAAUUGGAUUUGCAAUGUUUUUCCAGUUAAUGCAUCAAAUUUGAUUGUUUAAAACACCAUCAAAACACUGGGGAGGGGGAUAUUUGAACUAGAAAAAAGCUCAAAAGAUUAGUUAUGUCUUUUGGUUGGUA
Molecule: long non-coding RNA, 749 nt
Organism: Symsagittifera roscoffensis
Lineage: Eukaryota; Metazoa; Xenacoelomorpha; Acoela; Convolutidae
Exons: 4
Source: RefSeq, a predicted model, not a curated record